Molecule: ribosomal RNA, 253 nt
Filed under: uncultured bacterium
Lineage: Bacteria
Description: partial 16S ribosomal RNA
Rfam family: Bacterial small subunit ribosomal RNA
Source: RNAcentral
UACAGAGGUCCCAAGCGUUGUUCGGAUUCACUGGGCGUAAAGGGUGCGUAGGCGGUCGGGUAAGUCUGAUGUGAAAUCUCACAGCUUAACUGUGAAACUGCAUUGGAUACUAUCCGGCUCGAGGAAUGGAGGGGAGACUGGAAUACUUGGUGUAGCAGUGAAAUGCGUAGAUAUCAAGUGGAACACCAGUGGCGAAGGCGAGUCUCUGGGCCGUAACUGACGCUGAGGAGCGAAAGCGUGGGGAGCGAACAGG